AACGUAGGAGACAAACGUUAUCCGGAGUUACUGGGCGUAAAGGGCGUGUAGGUGGUAAUGUAAGUCUGGCGUGAAAUUUUUCGGCUUAACCGGGAAAGGUCGUCGGAUACUGCAUGACUAGAGGACGGUAGAGGCGUGUGGAAUUCCGGGUGUAGUGGUGAAAUGCGUAGAUAUCAGGAGGAACACCCAUGGCGAAGGCAGCUCCCUGGC
RNAcentral lists this ribosomal RNA (210 nucleotides) under uncultured bacterium. RNAcentral describes it as "partial 16S ribosomal RNA". It matches the Rfam family "Bacterial small subunit ribosomal RNA", at positions 524 to 733 of the family's 1533-position model. The record is from RNAcentral.